RNAcentral lists this unclassified non-coding RNA (969 nucleotides) under Hevea brasiliensis (rubber tree). The record is from RNAcentral. Lineage: Eukaryota; Viridiplantae; Streptophyta; Magnoliopsida; Malpighiales; Euphorbiaceae.
CACAAACUAACCUCUCUUAGAAGUCUGUACAUUCAAGGUGGGUGCUCUCAUAUUGUAUCCUUUCCUUCAGAUGAGAUAGGAAUGAUGCUGCCUCCAACUCUAACUAGGCUACGCAUUCGCGAUUUCCCAAAUCUGGAGUACCUUUCCUGCAGAGGCUUUCAGAACCUCACCUCUCUUCAGGAGCUAUGGAUCUCUGACUGUCCUAAGCUUACAUCCUUUCCCAAGAAGGGCUUGCCUCCCUCAGUUCUGGAACUACGUAUAGAAAGAUGUCCUCUUCUACUACAGCAGUUCAUGAAGGGUAAUGUGAAUGAAUGGCUCAAGAUAAGACAUAUUCCUUAUAUUAAGAUAGAUGGCAAAUUUGGCUCUUACUCAGAAUUCUGAGCAGUAAUAAGCUACGGAGACUCCUUCAUGCUAUAUAUCAACAUUUGCAAUAGCAAUUAUCGCUAUUUUCCAUUUAGGCCUCAGUAUGUGUGCUACUGACUUCUUGCAGGACAGAUUCCUCCAAACUAAAGUGGAAUUCAAGCAUUGAGCUUCCAUCUUUAUGACAAAAUGGCCAAAUUGCAACCCUUUCAAGGCAAUUUACCAUAUCUACUUUUUGAAGGCAAAUAUCUGUAUUCAUUGACCAAAGGUGCAAGAGCUUGAUAAAGAGUGGGUGGUUGAACCUGAAAAUAANNNNNNNUCCCACCAGAACAGAAGCAGCUUUAUCAUAAGUUCUUGGUAUUCCUAGGUUAAUAUAAGGCACAUUUCACAGUCUUUCCACAGAGCCUCACAUGGGUCCAUUUCCUUUACUAGAAUCAAUGCCAUUUGGAGUCUAACACUGUAACUGUUGGAUGAAUUCUAAUGUAUUGUAUAGAAGUUGAUUCUUCUGUCAUGUUUCUUUGUUUAUUAUCGAGUCUAAAUACAAGUUAUUAUAUUCAGAAUCUUUCAUACUUCAAUGAAUGUGUCAAGGGAACAAUACCCUUGUGAGGC